This 285-nucleotide ribosomal RNA is filed under the name uncultured Sphingobacteriales bacterium. Its description in RNAcentral is "partial 16S ribosomal RNA". It matches the Rfam family "Bacterial small subunit ribosomal RNA", at positions 1097 to 1382 of the family's 1533-position model. The record is from RNAcentral. Lineage: Bacteria; Pseudomonadati; Bacteroidota; Sphingobacteriia; Sphingobacteriales.
CGCAACCCUUAUCGUUAGUUGCCAGCUGGUAAAGCAGGGGACUCUAGCGAAACUGCCACCGUAAGGUGAGAGGAAGGUGGGAUGACGUCAAAUCAGCACGGCCCUUAUGUCCAGGGCUACACACGUGUUACAAUGGCCGGCACAGAGGGCAGCUACCUGGUGACAGGAUGCUAAUCUCGAAAACCGGUCUCAGUUCGGAUCGAAGUCUGCAACUCGACUUCGUGAAGCUGGAUUCGCUAGUAAUCGCGCAUCAGCCAUGGCGCGGUGAAUACGUUCCCGGGCCUU